AUCUCUUCUCGGCCUUUUGGCUAAGAUCAAGUAUAGUAUCUAAUAUCCAUGUCUUAUUUCCUGUUAGCUAAUUCAUUCUUUAAUAGAUAUGGUUUUGCAUGUUAUACUUGUGAACAAAGUUUCCCAUUUUAGUGUUGAUUACAGUUUUGAAGAAUCAGACCAACUGAGACCCAAA
Small nuclear RNA from Monodelphis domestica (gray short-tailed opossum), 175 nucleotides. Its record names the gene U2. It matches the Rfam family "U2 spliceosomal RNA". From Rfam's summary of the family: U2 is a small nuclear RNA (snRNA) component of the spliceosome (involved in pre-mRNA splicing). Complementary binding between U2 snRNA (in an area lying towards the 5' end but 3' to hairpin I) and the branchpoint sequence (BPS) of the intron results the bulging out of an unpaired adenosine, on the BPS, which initiates a nucleophilic attack at the intronic 5' splice site, thus starting the first of two transesterification reactions that mediate splicing. The record is from Ensembl. NCBI's taxonomy places the organism in Eukaryota, Metazoa, Chordata, Mammalia, Didelphimorphia, Didelphidae.